GUCGGCGAUGCCGGGGUGGCCCGACAGCGCCGAUUCGACUUCGGCGGGAAAGACAUUGGCACCGCCGCUGACGAUCAUGUCGACGCGGCGAUC
This 93-nucleotide transfer RNA is filed under the name Mycobacterium triplex. RNAcentral describes it as "tRNA-Ser". Lineage: Bacteria; Bacillati; Actinomycetota; Actinomycetes; Mycobacteriales; Mycobacteriaceae. The record is from RNAcentral.